Long non-coding RNA from Herpailurus yagouaroundi (jaguarundi), 331 nucleotides. RefSeq lists it as uncharacterized. The transcript has 2 exons. The record is from RefSeq and is a predicted model, not a curated record. Lineage: Eukaryota; Metazoa; Chordata; Mammalia; Carnivora; Felidae.
CAAGGGACGCACUUGGGCAGCCCCGCCUGCCGGCGCCCUCGUCUCCAACCCUCUCCGCCCCGCCUGGCGCACUGCGUGGUUUGCUUAGUUUCCCGGACCUGGCAGAGCGGUGGCUGCGUUGAGGACGCACGGCACCCGUCCCGCGCCCUGUGGUCGGGGAGGCUCCGGGCCCACCCCCAGUGCAGGCCUCCGGGUGGGCGGACGCCGCCAGCGCCGCAGGUGCAGCCCAGACACAGCGCGCCGAUUGAUUGCUCUUUUGCCGUGAGCAAGUGACAGCAAGGACUUGAAACUGACCAAAGAGGGUCUUAACCUUCAUAUUAUAAGCCAAGAC